UAAAAAUUCAAUUAUAUUUCAAUUGUCCCCUAGGUAUUAAAUUGAAAAGAGCAUUUUGAUCCUGCUGCCCUUGGCUCCAAAAGAAACAGAAUAAUGAGACUUCUAGGCGUUUUCUGUGCAGAAAAGAUUCAAUUCAGACAGAUUUCUACAACAUCAGAGGAAGGGAACCUGUUUUUAUUCCUGAUCCUCCAUCUGCCUGUGCCAGACUGCAAGGAAUAUUGGGAAAACUGGAGGCUGGAGAAUGUGGAAAGAAAACAGUGAAGAUCCCAGCUGAAGAAAAAAUCCUGGAACUGUGGGAAGAACCUGAGGAUCAGAAAGCUGUGUAGAUACUAGUGCUGGGGGAUGAGCAGGGACAUUAGUCACUAACAUCUGAGAUGAGUGCUUAGGAGCA
Molecule: long non-coding RNA, 391 nt
Filed under: Coturnix japonica (Japanese quail)
Lineage: Eukaryota; Metazoa; Chordata; Aves; Galliformes; Phasianidae
Description: lncRNA (ENSCJPG00005019563.1)
Source: RNAcentral